UACUAUCGCAGAAAUUCCACUGUUGUA
This 27-nucleotide non-coding RNA is filed under the name Rattus norvegicus (Norway rat). Lineage: Eukaryota; Metazoa; Chordata; Mammalia; Rodentia; Muridae. The record is from RNAcentral.